Molecule: transfer RNA, 68 nt
Filed under: Marmota monax (woodchuck)
Lineage: Eukaryota; Metazoa; Chordata; Mammalia; Rodentia; Sciuridae
Description: tRNA.Ala
Source: RNAcentral
GCUGUAGCUCAGUGGCAGAGCACUUGCCUAGCAUGUGUGAGGCACUGGGUUCGAUCCUUAGCACUGCA